GACGAACGCUGGCGGCGUGCUUAACACAUGCAAGUCGAACGGAAAGGCCCUGCUUUUGUGGGGUGCUCGAGUGGCGAACGGGUGAGUAACACGUGAGUAACCUGCCCUUGACUUUGGGGUAACUUCAGGAAACUGGGGCUAAUACCGGAUAGGAGCUCCUGCUGCAUGGUGGGGGUUGGAAAGUUUCGGCGGUUGGGGAUGGACUCGCGGCUUAUCAGCUUGUUGGUGGGGUAGUGGCUUACCAAGGCUUUGACGGGUAGCCGGCCUGAGAGGGUGACCGGCCACAUUGGGACUGAGAUACGGCCCAGACUCCUACGGGAGGCAGCAGUGGGGAAUAUUGCACAAUGGGCGGAAGCCUGAUGCAGCAACGCCGCGUGCGGGGUGACGGCCUUCGGGUUGUAAACCGCUUUCGCCUGCGACGAAGCGUGAGUGACGGUAAUGGGUAAAGAAGCACCGGCUAACUACGUG
This 468-nucleotide ribosomal RNA is filed under the name uncultured bacterium. RNAcentral describes it as "partial 16S ribosomal RNA". It matches the Rfam family "Bacterial small subunit ribosomal RNA", at positions 28 to 507 of the family's 1533-position model. The record is from RNAcentral.